GGCGGCAAGAUAGCCAUUUAGAGGAACCUGCCCUGUAAACGAUGGACCACGAAUGACUCUACUUUUAUUAGAUAUAAAUUCAGCUUGUAUACCGCUGUUGUCAGUCAGAUUCUUUAGAAAACUUUCGUCCCGUGAAAAAAUCACAGACUUCAAGUAAAGGUGCAGCUUAUAUAAAAGAUAGAGGUGGGUUACAUUUAAAAGAUUAAAACGGAUAAAGUUUUUGAAAUAACUUUUGAAGGCGGAUUUAAUUGUAAAGUUUAAAAAGACUUGAUGAGAGCUCUGUCUUGUGUACACACCGCCCGUCG
RNAcentral lists this ribosomal RNA (305 nucleotides) under Balanus rostratus. RNAcentral describes it as "partial 12S ribosomal RNA". It matches the Rfam family "Microsporidia small subunit ribosomal RNA", at positions 789 to 1201 of the family's 1311-position model. Lineage: Eukaryota; Metazoa; Arthropoda; Thecostraca; Balanomorpha; Balanidae. The record is from RNAcentral.